Long non-coding RNA from Gallus gallus (chicken), 1364 nucleotides. NCBI's taxonomy places the organism in Eukaryota, Metazoa, Chordata, Aves, Galliformes, Phasianidae. The record is from Ensembl.
CUAGAUUAAAGGAAAUUAAAGGGAGUGUGUCCACUCCUGGUCUGAAUAAACUGGUUUUGCUGUAUGCUGCAGCAGCACGUACGUGCAGUAUUAAUGGAAACAAGAACUAAAGCUGUACUAAGUGCCACGGUAUUGGAGGACAUAAUAUGUAAUGACCAAGAUUUAGGAAUACCUUGCUACAUAAAGUAGUAGCUCUCAUAGUUUUUAGUCCACUAUUCUGUGUUCGAGUCACAUCCUACCAGGACCAUUCUGACUGUGCUUUGAUGCUUUUCAGUACAGAUCUUGAGGCAUUCAUGGCAAAGCCUAGAGCACCCUGAGAAAUGAGGAAAAAGCAGCACCAGCUGAGGCUUCCGGGAAGUGGUCACACUAAUUCCUUAUUUUCCACCACUGCCUUUAGUACUGGAGCGGCUGCUGUUGCAUCCUUAUGUUGCUGCACCCUGAGUAACCAGAAGUUCUCACUGAUUGCUGCAGCUCUAAGUGAUAGCCUACAUGGUGGUUUUUCAGAGUUCACCGAUGACAUGACAUUUACAAAUUUCUGAUCCUCAUCACUUUGGUGAAAGCUGCCUCACUCACUCAUGCCCUCUGGAAGCCUCUGCCCUCCUGCAGCUGCUUCAGGACCCUGAAACUGCUUCUGCUGAGAUCCUGGAGAAAAACAGUGUUGAUAACACACCAAUGUUUCUAGUUGCUGCUAAGCAGCGUUACACAGAGCCAAGGUUAUUCUCAGUGAAGAACCCAAGGAGCAGGGAGGGGACAGAAGCAGGACAAUUGACUUAAACUAGCCAAAGGGAUACUUCAUACCAUAUGACAUCAUGUGGAAGGAGUUCAGGAGGGUUCCUUUCACUACGUCUUGGGGAUUACAAUUACCAGAUGUUCAUGGGAGGUGUUCUGAGAGUGGGAUGUGGCUCCUUUCUUUCAAGAUGUAUGCCAGUAAUAUUGAUGAGAAUCAAUACAUUUUUACUAAGAAGACUAAUGGACAUUUCUUCAGAGACAGCCAAGGACCUAAAUAAUGAGCGUCUUCAACGAAGCAUGUUUAUCUAUGCGUCCUUAAGUCGUAAAGGAAUAUCUAGCUUCCAAAUGCCAAUACUAAAAAAAACUAAAGAAGGAGUCCAGUGGAGGGCCACAAAGAUGAUGAAGGGACUGGAGCAUCUUCUUUACGAGGAAAGGCUGAGGCACCUGGGACACAUUGGCAUGGAGAAGAAAAGGCUGAGAUGUUGCAGUCUCUUUCUAUGGAGAUACUCAAGACUUGUCUGGAUGCCUACCUAUGCAACCUAUUGUGGGGUACCUGCUUUGGCAGAGGAGUUGGACUCCAUGAACUUUUGAGGUCCCUCCCAACCCCUGCAGUUCUGUAAUUCUGCAACAAUAAG